CUCUUCACUGGAGAAACACAGCUACCAGCUCUAUUUCAACUGAAAGAGGUACUCUGAUGUUGUCCAAGCCAAAAGGCAUGCUGGAAUUCAGAUGAGAGAAUUCAGUGACUGCAACAACAGAACCUUAUUGGGACUUUGAGAGAUCAUCUGGCCUAGUAACUUCAGGCAAGGAAAAUUCUAAGCCAUGCAGUUCUGUUGGGUAGCUUCCAUGGCCAAUUUGAUUCCUCUUGAGUGACUCGAUGCUUCAGGAUGGAGAGAAAGCAUUCCAGCUGGCAUGGCCAGUGGACCACAGAAAGUAAAGAGCUAAGGAAAAGAAAUAAUUUUCAAUAAAGAAAAGGAGUCUUGGAAGUGGCAUAUUGUUAGAUUUAGAAUAAGAAGAUCCACUGAGAAUAUUCGAGUGACUGAAUAACCUCCAAGUAGAGUAAAAUAAAUCCAAGCCAGAACAGCUUUGCUCACUAGACCUUACCUGAAGGGAAAAGCUGUCUCAACGUUCUUCAGCUUCAGGGCAAUUAACUGCAAUGUGUUCAACAGAGUCCAGAGAAGGAAGAGUUUAGCAACAUCUUUUAAUGAAGAAACAUCUAGAAAGUUGAUUCCAUUUCUGCCUCUGACUUCCAUGUUCCCCUUAGGCAAUACCCAAAUACCAUGUAAAUCAUCCCUGAGUUUUAAAAACAAACCACCCAAACACAUCUUUUUUUUUUCCUUUCUCACAAUUAUUUAAUUGUCUUUCUAAUUAAUUCCACAC
RNAcentral lists this long non-coding RNA (742 nucleotides) under Mus musculus (house mouse). Its description in RNAcentral is "predicted gene 45490". The record is from RNAcentral. Lineage: Eukaryota; Metazoa; Chordata; Mammalia; Rodentia; Muridae.